This 253-nucleotide ribosomal RNA is filed under the name uncultured bacterium. RNAcentral describes it as "partial 16S ribosomal RNA". It matches the Rfam family "Bacterial small subunit ribosomal RNA", at positions 524 to 776 of the family's 1533-position model. The record is from RNAcentral.
UACAGAGGGUGCGAGCGUUGUCCGGAAUUACUGGGCGUAAAGCGCGUGUAGGCGGCCGAUUAAGUCUGGUGUGAAAGCCCGGGGCUCACCCCCGGAAGUGCGCUGGAAACUGGUCGGCUAGAGUAUGGGAGAGGAAAGUGGAAUUCCCGGUGUAGCGGUGAAAUGCGUAGAUAUCGGGAAGAACACCCGUGGCGAAGGCGGCUCUCUGGGACGGUACUGACGCUGAGACGCGAAAGCCAGGGGAGCAAACGGG